Molecule: ribosomal RNA, 253 nt
Filed under: uncultured bacterium
Lineage: Bacteria
Description: partial 16S ribosomal RNA
Rfam family: Bacterial small subunit ribosomal RNA
Source: RNAcentral
UACGGAGGAUGCAAGCGUUAUCCGGAAUUAUUGGGCGUAAAGCGUCCGUAGGUGGCACUUCAAGUCUUUUGUCAAAUCGUGCAGCUUAACUGCAUACGGGCGGAGGAAACUGGAGCGCUAGAGUGCGAUAGGGGUCACAGGAAUUCCCAGUGUAGCGGUGAAAUGCGUAGAUAUUGGGAAGAACACCAGCGGCGAAAGCGUGUGACUGGGUCUGCACUGACACUGAGGGACGAAAGCUAGGGGAGCGAAAGGG